UACGGGGGGGGCAAGCGUUGUUCGGAAUUACUGGGCGUAAAGGGCUCGUAGGUGGCCAACUAAGUCAGACGUGAAAUCCCUCGGCUUAACCGGGGAACUGCGUCUGAUACUGGAUGGCUUGAGAUUGGGAGAGGGAUGCGGAAUUCCAGGUGUAGCGGUGAAAUGCGUAGAUAUCUGGAGAAACACCGGUGGCGAAGGCGGCAUCCUGGACCAACACUGACGCUGAGGAGCGAAAGCCAGGGGAGCAAACGGG
Molecule: ribosomal RNA, 253 nt
Filed under: uncultured bacterium
Lineage: Bacteria
Description: partial 16S ribosomal RNA
Rfam family: Bacterial small subunit ribosomal RNA
Source: RNAcentral